This 891-nucleotide long non-coding RNA is filed under the name Triticum aestivum (bread wheat). Its description in RNAcentral is "long non-coding RNA (TAES_LNC020445)". The record is from RNAcentral. Lineage: Eukaryota; Viridiplantae; Streptophyta; Magnoliopsida; Poales; Poaceae.
GAACAUGAAACAUCACAGAUCCAACUUACAACAGGACAGAACUAAACUUAUUUAAUAGGACAGAGAGACCAGAUUAAAUUGAAACACUACAUCGUUCAAUUUUUCCCUCGCAUGGAAAUACAUCAAAGGUACAGUACAUCCUUCAAAUGUUCCCUCACAUGGAAAUACAUCAAAGGUACAGUACAUCCUUCAAAUGUUCCCUCACAUGGAAAUACAUCAAAGGUACAGUACAUCCUUCAAAUGUUCCCUCACAUGGAAAUACAUCAAAGAUACUAAGCUGGGAUAGCAUCAGCCUCAUUGUCACAUGCACUCUCUCUAUCUGUCCACAUUUGCUGAGCGAUUAAAUCUCGCUUGGCAGCCCACUCACGUAUGUCAGCCUCUUGAUCACGAACCCGCCCAGUACUCCUAGGGAGAUUGGCAUACCAUGUCGCCUCAUCCACAACAUAAUCAUCUGGACCAUUUUCUAAUAUCCAAUUGUGCAAAGCACAACAAGCAACUACCACUUUAAUCUGAGAUUUCAAAGGUAUGAAGGGCCUUUGAGUAAGAAUCUUGAAGCGACUCUUAAGAGUCCCAAAUGCCCGUUCAACUGUGGUCCUAAGUGAUGAAUGGCGGUGGUUGAACAAUUCUUUUGGGGUAGUUGGGUCACGGUCUCCAGCAAAUUCGUUUAGGUGGUAGCGCACACCACGAUAAGGAGGCAAUAUCCCUGGCCUCGCAGCAUACCCAGCAUCAGCCAAGAAAUAUUUCCCUACAGCCAUGUUGUAUUAACAAUGAGUUAAAGUCAAGUUGGCACAACACAGUGACAAACAUGUAUGUUACGUUGUAUAUGUACCUUCGGGUAUUUUUAAUCCCCCUGGACGUGUGAGGGCAUCUUUUAGCACAAGAGAAUCAUGG